UCUUCCUAUAAAUCUUCUAAUCUUAUUUUUGAUUGUCAAGGUUACAACACUACUCCCUCAGGUCCCACGUUUUUAUCUUCCAACCCAUUUGCUGGAAGGAGUUGGAGAACGUCCAACAAUGUGAGUAAUACACAUGUUGGAUCAGUGAAGUUGAGCUGAUAAACUGUCAGAGGAUUCAUAUGGUUGUUGUGGCAGUUAGUGCUCCUCAUAUAGUGUGGUAUGAGUUCUGGUUUUGCUACAUAUGCGAUCAUGGAUUCGUCAAGAAAGGAUCUCAAGAGGCUUUCUAGACAAUUAAUUUUCCUGAGGGAAGAGGAGGGGAAAGCCUAAAACGGACCUGUCUGAUGCUGCUUUGCUUAUGCCGCUGGAUCGGAGAACAGUAAAGUCACAAAGCAAGAGCACACCCACGGAAAAGUAAAGAGCAAAGUUGGAAAUGGGAGCUGUGAAGGGUUCUCUGAGCUUUGACCCAUGGCCUCUUCCACCCAUCCUAAUCUCUGCCUGUUGAAGAGAUUUCUGUGCUGCCGCAUGAACACAAUCACGUUUUCCUAGCUGAAUUGCAUACACAUUUUCUAAAACACAAUUGUUUUCAGAAAUGAAUCAGAAUAUGAACCAGAUUUCCCUUCCCCUUCCUCUCCUCCUUCCCCUUUCCUCUUCCCCUUCCUCUUCCCCCUCCCCUUGUCAAUAAUGUUUAAUUUUAAACUUCAGCAGAAUAAUAACGGUGUGCACUUCUGAGUCACCAUGCCACAUAAACGUCCACAUGGUGAUUAUGUCGUGUUCUGACUCCUUAAUGUACUUUAUAAACUCUUUGGCAAGCAGACGUGCCCAACGCCCGAUAAGUAACUGUGAAUCUCUGGAUUAAAAAAAAAAAAAAAAGUGUUGCUUUUUUCAGUGUGUGCAGUUUCAGUUAUCUUCUUCCUGAUUUGCAAGCCGAUCAGAUUGUCUUAGUUAAGUACAGGGUGGAAUUGAACCGAAUUCAGGUCUAAGAGCAUGCAGAAAUUCUGUUGUUUAGUUUUAAGAAAUUAGUAGCACAAAGCACCUAUCAAGAUAAUUUUGUGGUCGGUGCUGCAGGCACCACCCAUGGUUAGAUUCGCAGUCAGAUUUCUGCAGUCUUAACAGCCUGUCUGUGUGUCAGCUGAGUACCAGUAACUGUGAGCAGACUUUAGCCUAUGGAAAAUGCAAGCUAAUAUAACUCCAUUUAAC
This 1197-nucleotide long non-coding RNA is filed under the name Struthio camelus australis. RNAcentral's name for it is "lncRNA (ENSSCUG00000013417.1)". The record is from RNAcentral. Lineage: Eukaryota; Metazoa; Chordata; Aves; Struthioniformes; Struthionidae.